RNAcentral lists this ribosomal RNA (253 nucleotides) under uncultured bacterium. RNAcentral's name for it is "partial 16S ribosomal RNA". It matches the Rfam family "Bacterial small subunit ribosomal RNA", at positions 524 to 776 of the family's 1533-position model. The record is from RNAcentral.
UACAGAGGUCCCAAGCGUUGUUCGGAUUCACUGGGCGUAAAGGGUGCGUAGGUGGUCGGGUAAGUCUGAUGUGAAAUCUUCGAGCUCAACUCGAAAAUGGCUUUGGAUACUAUUCGGCUGGAGGGUUGGAAGGGGGACUGGAAUUCUCGGUGUAGCAGUGAAAUGCGUAGAUAUCGAGAGGAACACCGGUGGCGAAGGCGAGUCCCUGGACAAUCCCUGACGCUGAGGCGCGAAAGCGUGGGGAGCAAACGGG